CAGCAGACACAUUCCAGCCAAUCAGCAGGAGACCCUCCCUCCCAGACCCUCCCACCUCCUGGACAGCAUCCAUUUUGAAGCUGCAUUCUUAGUGAGCUGUCCAGGAGGUGGGAGGAUCUGGGAGGGAGGGUCUGCUGCUGAUUGGCUGGAAUGUGUCUGCUG
This is a non-coding RNA of Pelobates cultripes (western spadefoot toad), 162 nucleotides long. NCBI's taxonomy places the organism in Eukaryota, Metazoa, Chordata, Amphibia, Anura, Pelobatidae. The record is from the annotation of a GenBank genome assembly.